ACUCAAAGGAAUUGACGGGGACCCGCACAAGCGGUGGAGCAUGUGGUUUAAUUCGACGCAACGCGAAGAACCUUACCUGGGUUAAAUCCCACUUGCAAGGCACAGAGAUGUGCCCCCCUCGCAAGAGGCGAGUGGGAAGGUGCUGCAUGGCUGUCGUCAGCUCGUGUCGUGAGAUGUUGGGUUAAGUCCCGCAACGAGCGCAACCCUUACCGUUAGUUGCCAGCAACUAGGUUGGGCACUCUAAUGGAACUGCCGGUGAUAAACCGGAGGAAGGUGGGGAUGACGUCAAGUCAUCAUGGCCUCUAUGUCCAGGGCUACACACGUGCUACAAUGGCAUCUACAAACCGCAGCAAACUCGCGAGAGGGAGCCAAUCGGAAAAAGGAUGUCUCAGUUCGGAUUGCAGUCUGCAACUCGGCUGCAUGAAGUUGGAAUCGCUAGUAAUCGCGGAUCAGCACGCCGCGGUGAAUACGUUCCCGGGUCUUGCACACACCGCCCGU
RNAcentral lists this ribosomal RNA (498 nucleotides) under uncultured bacterium. RNAcentral's name for it is "partial 16S ribosomal RNA". It matches the Rfam family "Bacterial small subunit ribosomal RNA", at positions 899 to 1397 of the family's 1533-position model. The record is from RNAcentral.